Non-coding RNA from Podarcis lilfordi (Lilford's wall lizard), 69 nucleotides. Lineage: Eukaryota; Metazoa; Chordata; Lepidosauria; Squamata; Lacertidae. The record is from the annotation of a GenBank genome assembly.
GCCGUAGCUCAGUGGUAUAUCAUCUGCCUUGCAUGCAGAAGGUUCCAGGUUCAAUUCCCGGAAUCUCCA